GUGCAGCCGCCGCGGUAAUACCGGCAGCCCGAGUGAUGGCCGAUCUUAUUGGGCCUAAAGCGUCCGUAGCUGGCUGCGCAAGUCCGUCGGGAAAUCCACGUGCUUAACACGUGGGCGACCGGCGGAAACUGUUCGGCUUGGGGCCGGAGGACCCGAGGGGUACGUCCGGGGUAGGAGUGAAAUCCUGUAAUCCUGGACGGACCGCCGGUGGCGAAAGCGCCUCGGGAAGACGGACCCGACAGUGAGGGACGAAAGCUGGGAUCUCGAACCGGAUUAGAUACCCAGUAUCC
Molecule: ribosomal RNA, 290 nt
Filed under: uncultured bacterium
Lineage: Bacteria
Description: partial 16S ribosomal RNA
Rfam family: Archaeal small subunit ribosomal RNA
Source: RNAcentral